UCUAUUUCUUAAUGCAAUUGACAAUUGUUUUGAUGCCUAAGGCCCAAGGACGUUCCUUGGCAAUUUGUUAAUUAGUAAUUAAUUAGAGGACGUUCCCUAAUUGGUUUAAUCAUAAGGAGAGAUAAUGAUGGUGAGAAGCGUCUUCCAUCUCCAUAACUAAUCUAUUGAAUCAACCCAAAAGAACAAAGUGUCUGUGAUCAAUCCCAACAACUAAAGUGGAUCCAAUACUUCAACUAGAACUUUCUCAUUAUUGAUUACUCUUUAUUUUAUUAUUUGC
RNAcentral lists this long non-coding RNA (277 nucleotides) under Manihot esculenta (cassava). RNAcentral describes it as "long non-coding RNA (MESC_LNC007437)". Lineage: Eukaryota; Viridiplantae; Streptophyta; Magnoliopsida; Malpighiales; Euphorbiaceae. The record is from RNAcentral.